GCCCGGUACAGUGGUGUGCACCUGUAGACUACUGGGAGGCUGAAAUAGGUGGAUGGCUUGAGCCCAGGAGUUCAAGACCAGCAUAGGCAACAUAGUGAGACCUCAUUUUGA
Molecule: small RNA, 111 nt
Filed under: Marmota monax (woodchuck)
Lineage: Eukaryota; Metazoa; Chordata; Mammalia; Rodentia; Sciuridae
Source: RNAcentral